GUGCACCUGGCAGUCUCAGGUAGAAAGCAGGCCCUCCGCUGGGCUAGCUGCAGGCCCCCUGCCUGCUCUCAGCCUCUUUUAGAGGGAAGGCUGUGUCCAAGGUAUCCUGCAGGCACCCUUCCAACCCCCACCUACUCCCUCGGGGACGUGCAGGCUGUAAGGAGCAGACUGUGAGCCAUGUUUGCAGCAUCCGCAUCCUCAAGGAAGCCGCUCCUGAGCCCUGGGGACCAGGAAAGCCUUGGGGACUUCCUGCUUUCCAGAGCUGAGUGAAGCAGCCCUUAUCUGGAACUCGAAAGCCCCAGGAGGUGUGUGCUCAGAAGCAAACAGAGGCUGACCUGAGGCUUCCUUACGUCAGCACCCUCCUCAACUGCUCCUGGGAGCUUAGCCGAUGCUUUUCUUUAAAGUUCUUACUUAUGU
Long non-coding RNA from Mus musculus (house mouse), 417 nucleotides. RefSeq annotates it as RIKEN cDNA 1810013A23 gene. The transcript is spliced from 3 exons. The record is from RefSeq and is marked validated. Lineage: Eukaryota; Metazoa; Chordata; Mammalia; Rodentia; Muridae.